GACGAACGCUGGCGGCGUGCCUAAUACAUGCAAGUAGAACGCUGAAGAGAGGAGCUUGCUCUUCUUGGAUGAGUUGCGAACGGGUGAGUAACGCGUAGGUAACCUGCCUGGUAGCGGGGGAUAACUAUUGGAAACGAUAGCUAAUACCGCAUGAUAUUAAUUAUUGCAUGAUAAUUGAUUGAAAGAUGCAAUUGCAUCACUACCAGAUGGACCUGCGUUGUAUUAGCUAGUUGGUGAGGUAACGGCUCACCAAGGCGACGAUACAUAGCCGACCUGAGAGGGUGAUCGGCCACACUGGGACUGAGACACGGCCCAGACUCCUACGGGAGGCAGCAGUAGGGAAUCUUCGGCAAUGGGGGGAACCCUGACCGAGCAACGCCGCGUGAGUGAAGAAGGUUUUCGGAUCGUAAAGCUCUGUUGUAAGAGAAGAACGGGUGUGAGAGUGGAAAGUUCACACUGUGACGGUAUCUACCCA
Molecule: ribosomal RNA, 475 nt
Filed under: Streptococcus sanguinis
Lineage: Bacteria; Bacillati; Bacillota; Bacilli; Lactobacillales; Streptococcaceae
Description: bacterial SSU rRNA
Rfam family: Bacterial small subunit ribosomal RNA
Source: RNAcentral